UCUGCAACUCGACUACAUGAAGCUGGAAUCGCUAGUAAUCGCGAAUCAGAAUGUCGCGGUGAAUACGUUCCCGGGUCUUGUACACAUCGCCCGUCACACCAUGGGAGUCGGAAACGCCCGAAGCCAGUGACCCCAACCUGAGAAGGAGGGAGCUGUCGAAGGCGGGGGCCGGUAACUGGGGUGAAGUCGUAACAAGGUACC
This 201-nucleotide ribosomal RNA is filed under the name uncultured bacterium. RNAcentral's name for it is "partial 16S ribosomal RNA". It matches the Rfam family "Bacterial small subunit ribosomal RNA", at positions 1304 to 1500 of the family's 1533-position model. The record is from RNAcentral.